CAGUGUACCCGCGGCAAGACGGAAAGACCCCGUGAACCUUUACUAUAGCUUGACACUGAACACUGGUCCUUGAUGUGUAGGAUAGGUGGGAGGCUUUGAAGCGUGGACGCCAGUCUGCGUGGAGCCGCCCUUGAAAUACCACCCUUUAAUGGCUGGUGUUCUAACGUAGACCCGUAAUCCGGGUUGCGGACAGUGUCUGGUGGGUAGUUUGACUGGGGCGGUCUCCUCCCAAAGAGUAACGGAGGAGCACGAAGG
This 255-nucleotide ribosomal RNA is filed under the name Enterobacter cloacae. RNAcentral describes it as "partial 23S ribosomal RNA". It matches the Rfam family "Bacterial large subunit ribosomal RNA", at positions 2062 to 2316 of the family's 2925-position model. RNAcentral also lists the same sequence under 4 other names. Lineage: Bacteria; Pseudomonadati; Pseudomonadota; Gammaproteobacteria; Enterobacterales; Enterobacteriaceae. The record is from RNAcentral.